AAUAAUAAUAAUAAUAAUAAUUAGGAUGAUUAAUUUAUUUCUUAAUUUGCCUAUCAUAUCUAAUUUGAUUUGGGGUGCUUGCAGGGGUCUGCUCAAUUGUUCUGAGAAAGGCAGUGACUUAGAAACAUCAAUGCCAUGAAGUUUUUUAAGUAUCAGACAGCUGAAUUUUCUUCAAGCUAUAUCUUAUUUUCUCGCUUCCCUGCAAGUCUACUUUAGGAGUUUGAUCAAUCAUAUUUUGGAUAGUGACUUUAGCUGCUGCAACCUUUUUUGCUGUCUGCCUUUUGAAUUGAUGUUGCUUUUUCUUUCUUUUUCUCUAGUUGUUAAUUAAUUACAGUAAUACAGAAAAGUUCAAGAGCUUUCAUAUAUGUGCUUUCGUAGGCUAUAUUAUAUAUAUCAUGGUACAUGUACAUGUCAUCUAGAGUCCAUUUGCCUAGCUAUACAGAAAUUUCUGCAGGACAUUAACACGUAGGCCAACCUUAGGAAUUAUAUCAUUACAUUUUUAUAUACAAGUUUAUUUGCUAUGGAAUUCUUGCAUUUAUGUUUAUUACGUUUUGCAAUUAUUUUCCCCAUUUUCAAGAGAAAUGUUAGCAUACAACUAUUGUAUGUAUAACAGUUUAUUAUAACCAUUAUAAUCAAUUGUCAAAAUCUAUCCAUUAUAUGUACAACGGCUG
RNAcentral lists this unclassified non-coding RNA (671 nucleotides) under Hevea brasiliensis (rubber tree). Lineage: Eukaryota; Viridiplantae; Streptophyta; Magnoliopsida; Malpighiales; Euphorbiaceae. The record is from RNAcentral.